AUAGCCAUCUAGUUCUGUGGCCUACCAGUUCUCAUCCUUUGAAUUCUUAGGUUAGACGAGAAGAUACAUGAGAUCUCUAAAUCUUCAGGUUUAAACGUAGAUGUCUUUCACUACACCAGAGUAAAUAGCUUAUUCAAUAUUCAUUUUAUGAUCGUUAUUGGACUUCGGCUUCCUACUGCCUUUCAAAUAGGCCAUCGCAAGAUUUUGUCCAGUAGUAACGCCAGCAUUCAUCCUUUAAUGUUCGUGCCCGUCUCCUUAGUGCUUGAUAGAAAGGAUGCACUUCUUAUGUUAGUGUUCAUGGGCAAGAAAAUGACCAGAGAAAGAGAAGAAAAGGAAAAACCCACAGCCUUAAAUCAUCUGCUUCCUUAAUGAAGUUAGCUUUACAACAAUGCUUGUGGAGCCUUUGUGGUCAUUCUCAGACAUGCACAGAGUGGGGAAAAACAUUGAGUCACCUGGAAUCCACGUUCAGCUGAGGUUGAACCAGCAAUCCUGGAAUCAGGGCACUACGGGUAACCACAUUCUCACUUUACAAAUGAUAACUCACACACCCCAUGGAAGAUCCGGGAAGUCUUCUGAUGCCCCUGCUUUCCAAGACAAUAUGAUGCUUCUCUACAUUCCAUGGACUAUGACAAGUAUAUCAGUCGUCGAAGUGGGUGGUUUAAUGGCAUGAUUAGCUCCAUUUUCUCUUCCUGCAGCAUAGCAAAGUGCAUAAAGCUUGAGCUCUGUGUCCAGCAGAUCUUUAUUAGAAUUCCAGUCCCCCCACAGUUACAUAUGCUCUCUCCCUGACAGUUUUCACAGAUGAAUCAUCCAGACUCCAUUUCCUAUUAGAGCUGGACCCUCCACUUGGACUUUUGACACUUAGACCCCUCUAGCCCACACAGGGACAUCAGUGCAAUAAUUCUCCCCUUUCUACAGCAUCAUUAAAUUUUGCCUCUCUCCUGGAUCAUCCCAUUCACAUAUUCAUAUGCUGUUAUUUCUCCCAUCUAAAACUGACCAGGCACUGUGGCUCAUGUCUAUAAUCCUAGCACUUUGGGAGGCCAAGGCUGGCAGAUCACUUGAGGCUAGGAGUUUGAGACCAGCCUGGCCAACAUGACAAAACCCCAUCUCUACUAAAAAUACAAAAAUUAGCAGGGUGUGCUGCACUCCAGCUUGGGCGACAGAGCAAGACACUGUCUCAAAAUAAAUAAAUAAUUAAUUAAAAAUAAAA
Molecule: long non-coding RNA, 1207 nt
Filed under: Homo sapiens (human)
Lineage: Eukaryota; Metazoa; Chordata; Mammalia; Primates; Hominidae
Description: novel transcript
Source: RNAcentral